This 420-nucleotide ribosomal RNA is filed under the name uncultured bacterium. RNAcentral's name for it is "bacterial SSU rRNA". It matches the Rfam family "Bacterial small subunit ribosomal RNA", at positions 355 to 774 of the family's 1533-position model. The record is from RNAcentral.
UAAGGAAUAUUGGUCAAUGGACGCAAGUCUGAACCAGCCAUGCCGCGUGAAGGAUGAAGGUCCUCUGGAUUGUAAACUUCUUUUAUCUGGGACGAAAACGGGAUUUUAUCUCAAUUGACGGUACCAGGGGAAUAAGCACCGGCUAACUCCGUGCCAGCAGCCGCGGUAAUACGGAGGGUGCGAGCGUUAUCCGGAUUUACUGGGUUUAAAGGGUGCGUAGGUGGGCUUAUAAGUCAGUGGUGAAAUCUCCGAGCUUAACUUGGAAACUGCCGUUGAUACUAUAGGUCUUGAAUUAUCUGGAGGUAAGCGGAAUAUGUCAUGUAGCGGUGAAAUGCUUAGAUAUGACAUAGAACACCAAUUGCGAAGGCAGCUUACUACAUAUAAAUUGACGCUGAGGCACGAAAGCGUGGGGAUCAAACA